UAUACAAGUGGGGAAUACUGUCUAAGUAAAAAAAUUAUUUUCUGUGUCUAAGUGUAAAAAAAGGGUGGAAACAAAAAAAGGUAUUUUCUCUCCUAGCGGCGGCGAACAUUUGAUGAGAUCCCAAACCCUAAAAUUUGUAGAGCUUCUUCUUCCUCCUUACAGGGUUGGACCUGUAACUUUUUGUUCUUUUUCGUCUUCUUCAAGGUUGAUCCGUAUUUUUCUGUUCUCUUCCUUUCUCAGUAUCAACUCUUUACUUUUUUUUAGCUUUCCUUUGUGACCUUUUUCUUAAAUUUUAUGUCACAGAAGACAAUGAGUGAAGGAAAACUGGAAUUUUCUCCAUAGAUCUACGUUUCCCAUUGACGUAUUGCUCUGUGAGCUUCUUGUUGAAGACGACGAAAAGUAGCGGAAGUGGGACUUUGAUGGCUGUGAGAGUUAAAGCUUAUGGUUCUUCUUCCGAUUCGUCUGCAGAUUCGUCCACGCCUCUUAAUGGCACUCGGAUCAAUUGGUUUUGAGCAGCAGCACAAAAGCAGGAGAGAUAUAUUAUUGGAGUAUGUUGAGAAUGUGAAGCCUGAGUUCUUGGAGAUGUUUGUUAAACUUGCCCCUAAACAUAUUUUGAAAUAGAACAAAGAUAAGAAGGACGCUGAGUUUAAUGAACGAUUCAAGCAUAGGCAAGGUCGAUUGAAGAGGAGAUUCAAAGAGAGAUUGAUGCAGUCUCUCAACCCUCAGAUGGCGCCUCACAAGGAGGUUCCUCAGCCACAGGGUUGACUCAGCUUCAAGAGGAUGAGCUGUUCUAUAAGGUGGUACCAUCUCAGAAUGGGAGGAUCUUCGGUCUCGGGGGCAGAAACUACAUCCGUGAGCGUGGAGAAAGCUCAGCUUGGAAAGGAUCUCUCUUGAACGUCAACUCACAUCUCUUCAAGAGCAGCUGGCUAAUGUUGUGGAAUUUAUGAAGCAAUAUAUGCCUAAAGGUGGCUCACACUCUUUCCCAUCGGCUCAACCAACUAAUGGUAUGGGUGCAUCACUGACCAGCCCAACUCAAGCCAACAACAGGGACAACCGAGAUGCCAACCCUGAAGAUGCUGACAUCCAUCUCAGUCAUCCCACUAAUGUGCCGGAUGAGACUCAUGAACCAGAAGACAAUGACGGUGACGCAUAUCACGGUAGUGCCACCAUCUGAUAAACACUCAAUAUCACCUUUCUUUAACCCCUCAUCGUUUGUUUUAAUACUCUGAGCAGAGUAUGUAUUUUGGUUUAUAUAUCUGCUCUUUAAUGUGGUCUAAAACUCUGCUUCCUAUUUCGGUUUAAAGCUCUGAUCUGUAGUCUUUUGCUUAAAACUCUGCUCUGUAGUCUAAUGUAUGCUGGUAAAACGCUGUAUCACUUCCUGUUACUACUUUUGUAUCUUAUUUGCACAUUUGUUUUCCGUUUAUAGUGUAAUCAAUCAAAACUAAUUGUUACAGGAACU
This is a non-coding RNA of Camelina sativa (false flax), 1459 nucleotides long. The record is from RefSeq and is a predicted model, not a curated record. NCBI's taxonomy places the organism in Eukaryota, Viridiplantae, Streptophyta, Magnoliopsida, Brassicales, Brassicaceae.